RNAcentral lists this long non-coding RNA (23847 nucleotides) under Brassica napus (rape). RNAcentral describes it as "long non-coding RNA (BNAP_LNC009109)". Lineage: Eukaryota; Viridiplantae; Streptophyta; Magnoliopsida; Brassicales; Brassicaceae. The record is from RNAcentral.
UGGAAUUUUGUUUUGGCCAGAUUAUACACUUAUGUUUAUCACAUCUGGUAAAAUGGCCAAACAAAAGGAUUGAAUCAAAAGGUUUAAGCUUUCUCUAAUAAUUUUGUGAUUCAUAAGUUUUUAUAAACAAGAUUCAUGUAGAUCUUUAGGUAUUUUGAUAACUUUAUAAGUUUUUAGAGAAACAUAGAACCUUUAGAGAAUUUUAAGUUUUAUGGAUUCAAAAUACUUUUAGAAUCAAGUUUCAUAUGGAUCAUAUGGAUCAUAGAAACAAGAUCAAUAUUUUAAAUCCAUAGAUUGUUUAUAAGUUAUGGAUUCAUAUAGAUCCUAGAUUUCUUUCAGAUAUAAUGGUGUUCUUUAGAUUUCAAGGUUUUGAUUUGUUUACCUUUUUCACCACAAGAAUCUGAGAGGACCACCGUGAGAGUUGGCCGGAAUUUGAGAGAGAGGGGAGUUUUCCGGCGGAGAGAGAGAGGUGGCCUGCUGGAGAGGAGGCUGAGCGCCGGUGGAGCAAAGGCUGAGCACCGGAGGAGCUGGCCGGAAAGAGGAUCGCCGGCUGAGAGAGAUUUCUCAGGUGGAGAGCACAAUCGUGCUGAUAACGUGUUAGAAAUAUGAGAGAAGUGUUGUUGUGAAAGUUGUGUCUUUCUCAUUAGCUCUCACUAUCAAUAUAUAGUGGAGGUUCAUAAGGGUUUACACAAAGGAGAGAAUCUACAUAUUUAAUACAUUUGACUACAAAUAUCUAGACUUGGUCAAAGCUCAUAAAUGCUCCGGUUGAAUGAGUCUUCAUCUUGACUAGUCUUGGUCGGAUGUAGACGGAUCGGAGACGGGUGUAGACGGACCGGAUAGUCGGGUCAGAUGUAAACCUCCUUAAUGGUUAAUGGCAAUCCACAUAUCCAUAUCAUGGAUUUAUAACAGUGAAUCUUUUUGCGACAUAUUAUAUGAUUUGUUGUUUUGUGUCCAAAAAGACUGAUAGACGAAUGAAAUCAUGUUUUCCUGUUUGAACUCGACGUUAAACUGACAAACAAAUAUAUAAUUCGUGUUUAGAUUUUAAUAAUCAAGCUUUUCAAAGAAAUUAACAGUAUUGUCCAUGUAGAAGUGAUACAUACACAAGGACCCUCAAUUUGAUGUUUGUAUAAUAAGGACACUGAGGGAACUAAUAUUCACCAUCUAUUUUUUUUUUCCAUAAGUCCUAUCGGCUGAUUCGGUCAGCUCCGAGAGGAACGCAGUUAGUGUUACAUAGUAGACUAGUAUGAAAGCAUACCACACUGUUUUACCCGAGUUUGAAAUAUUUUGCAACUAAUGCCAGAAAAUAGACAGAUCAUCUGUUACGGCCCACCAUGUAAACCAUUUGGGACGAAUCUCAAACCCAAACUGACUAAAUAGUGAUAAUUUAGUUCUCAGAGAAAAUCGAACACAUGACUGAUGUUGAUAUACACCAAAUCUCAAAAGAUUGCCACUAAACUACCACCACUUUGGUUUCACCUCCACCGUCUUAUUUUAUGAUUUGAUUUAAUUAGGCACGUAAAUAUAUUAUUCUUAUAAGUUAUAAAUAAGUUUUAUCAAAUCUUACAUAUUUUUUUGAUGAUAUAGUUUAGCUGUAGCCCGUAAGUAACACAAUUUACGGUUGUUUGGACAUGCUGCAUUACACACUAGUCAAUGCAGAUGCGUUAUUUCCUUUAAUUUCACUAACAUAAAUCAUGUUUCUACUUCUUACAACACUCGAUUUUAUCACUGACGAAUUGGAAAAAUUAAAUAGUUUAAAAUGAUCCUCAAAACUAACCUUUACAUCAUGGGAUUAAUUAAAGACAUUCCUAUGAAGUUAGGCAUUUUUUAGUAGAUGUGUUUAAUGGUCAAGUCCGGUAACAAAAUGGACCCAACAAGGUUUUGAUUCGAGUUAAAGCAAAAUGGGACAACCAGUAGAUUUUUUAUUGUAUUAAUCUGCUUUUUGCAUGACUUUAUAAACAAGAAAACAGACCAAAAGAAGCUACUAGCACAUUAAAAAAAGGAUUAGCUUAAAAAGCGAAGCUAAAAGAUCGUACCAAUACUAACAUGGGGGAGGCAAAAAACUUCAUCAAAAGAUGCAGGGAGAGAGAGUUCUAGUGAAAGCCACAUAUAUCAAAAGCAGUUCCCACUACUUUUUCAUAUUUUUAUUUUUUUUCUCAAAUGCAAAAGCUAUAUAUAUAUACGUAAACAAUGUGUAUCAAUGUGUAACUAUUUAUUUCAAUUAUUUACCUUUUAUGUGAUGUUUUCUAAAUAAAAACAUGAUGGGUAAGGGGGGCAAUAAACAUUUUUAAGUGUAUGCAUGUGUAAUCCAUUGAGGACAUAAUAUAUGUGUGGAUCAAAUAGAAGACUUGUCCCUUUACCUCUUUUAUAAAGCAAAAGUUGAAGAUGCAUUAUUAAAAAGCCAAUAAUAUAAAUAAAUGGUAUACGUUAAGAACGACAAAUAAAUAAGCCAUGCCUUGCUGAGUAAUUAAUCAUCAUACAUAGAAUUAACGUUUGUUUUUUUGUUUGUUCAGUACAUACCAGUCCCACGUAUCAGAAUGUGAACUGAGAGAAUUGUUAAUAGAUAACACUAAUUAACCAUUACAACAAUACUGUCAUGUUGCCUAAACGUAACAUUUCUUGCAUUGCUUGAACUUAAAUAUAUUAGCCGCUUGUCAAUAGUAUUUAUAAAGUGAUAGUUUCAGAUUAGAUAUCAUCAAAAUUCCAAUGUGUUCUAAGUUUGUUUAUAGUUAUGAAUAGUCAGCUAAUACAAUUUCAGAAGCGUGCAUGCCAUUAUAGGUACAUUCACGAGAUUCCACCAAAGAGAUUCCUCAACCAAACUAGCUGUGGAAUCUCUUCACAAGAACCAGAAUGAAGUGAAGUAAAAUCACCUCUCUUUAAUCAACAAAGCUAAUUUGAAGUACUGCUGUUUGUCUUAUACGUUAUGUCCAUUAUGAAUUCCAGUUAACUGAAUCAUUCAAUGUAACACAGUAACCAAUAUCAAAGAUUCACGUAUUAAAAAGGAAAAAUUCAGGAUAUAGUGUAUGAAAAAUAACUUCAUCAUAAAGGAAAAUACAAAAUUAUAUUCUUUCACAUAAACCAAACUAAUCACAAAAUUUAAUCCAAAGUAGAAAGCAAAACAACAUAUAUUAAAAAUAAAACAAAAAUCACGAAUUUGUAAAUCCUUGAAACCCUCCACCCUGUAUCAAUGUGUAACUAUUUAUUUCAAUUAUUUACCUUUUAUGUGCUGUUUUCUAAAUAAAAACAUGAUGGGUAAGGGGGGCAAUAAACAUUUUUAAGUGUAUGCAUGUGUAAUCCAUUGAGGACAUAAUAUAUGUGUGGAUCAAAUAGAAGACUUGUCCCUUUACCUCUUUUAUAAAGCAAAAGUUGAAGAUGCAUUAUUAAAAAGCCAAUAAUUUAAAUAAAUGGUAUACGUUAAGAACGACAAAUAAAUAAGCCAUGCCUUGCUGAGUAAUUAAUCAUCUUACAUAGAAUUAACGUUGGUUUUUUUGUUUGUUCAGUACAUACCAGUCCCACGUAUCAGAAUGUGAACUGAGAGAAUUGUUAAUAGAUAACACUAACCAUUACAAUACUGUGAUGUUGCCUAAACAUAACAUUUCUUGCAUUGCUUGAACUUAAAUAUAUUAGCCGCUUGCCAAUAGUAUUUAUAAAGUGAUAGUUUCAGAUUAGAUAUCAUCAAAAUUCCAAUGUGUUCUAAGUUUGUACAUAGUUAUGAAUAGUCAUACUAAUACAAUUUUAGAAGCGUGCAUGCCAGCCAUUAUAGCUACAUUCACGAGAUUCCACAGAAGAGAUUCCUCAACCAAACUAGCUGUGGAAUCUCUUUGCAAGAACCAGAAUGAAGUGAAGCAAAAUCACCUCUCUUUAAUCAACAAAGCUAAUUUGAAGUACUGCUGUUUGUCUUAUACGUUCUGUCCAUUAUGAAUUCCAGUUAACUGAAUCAUUCAAUGUAACACAGUAACUAAUAUCAAAGAUUCACGUAUUAAAAAGGAAAAAUUCAGGAUAUAGUGUAUGAAAAAUAACUUCAUCAUAAAGGAAAAUACAAAAUUAUAUUCUUUCACAUAAACCAAACUAAUCACAAAAUUUAAUCCAAAGUAGAAAGCAAAACAACAUAUAUUAAAAAUAAAACAAAAAUCACGAAUUUGUAAAUCCUUGAAACCCUCCACCUCAAUGAUCAUAGCUUAAUUAGUUAUACUCCAAAAGCAAUUUUCAAAUUAUGAACGCAUUAUCAUCAAUAGUAAACUCUCAAUCUUUAAACCCAUCAUCAACCAUCACCAUACGUGUGAAACUAUCUCAACGAACAAGCGUGCAAAUAUAUCAAAUAAAAACCAACCCUAUUACAUUGGCCGCCACGCACUAGCCCAAACCACCGGCUGAUCUCUCCAACAAAGGAAUAUUCCGGUGGCAUCAGAGCACGGUACCAUCGACCAGACUCCUUCUUUAUACCUCCUCAACAAAGCUCUGACGUCAUCCGCCACUUCAUCACUAUACCCCACUGCCCCAAACCCUCCGUUCCUCAUCCUCCUCGACCACUUCCUCGCCGUCUCUCUCCUCUCCGUCGAACCCGACGGCUCACAGGCAAUCAAAUCAACUAUCGCACGUCCCGCCACACGUUCAAGCAUCAGCCUCUCGUUGCUCGUUCUCGGAAAACUCUCUUCCAGCGACUCGAAGCAAACCCUAAACCAACGCAGACAUUCUCCAAAAGAUCUCAAGAACUCAUCGUCAAAGCCUAGUUCUUCUCCGACAAGGUCAGCUUCUUCUUCGACCACGGUCACAAUCCUCGGCCUUAACCGUCGGAAAUUGGAUAUCACAGCGUCUCUAGGGUUUCCACGAGGCAUGAUCCCAUGCAUGGCGCCUACGCAGUUGAUGGCCAAGACCUCGUCUGAUUUAACAUCGAGCUCGUUGAGAUCAAAUUCAGACAAAUCUCCAACGUGGUGAAUAAUGUUAAAUUUAAAAGGAACUCCCAUGAGCCUAGCGAACUUCUCCAUUCGGUUUCCUAGCUCUUUCAUCAUCCGAUGCGACGCCGUUUGAUCGUUGACGUAUUUAUUAGCGACGACUACUGUGGUUAGCCUUAGGUGUGGCGUAUCGUCUGACCUCGUGGCUAAAGCUUCUAGAAGCGUUGGCCAUUGAGUGCAAAACGUCGAGCUUAUGUCAACUAUGUGGAUCUUUGCCUCUCCGUCUACUGCUUCCAAGAUCGCUCCAUUUGCCGCCACGUGUCCAAACGUGGCCCACGGGCUAACCUCUUGGAACUUGAGCACGGUCUUGCGUGUUGACUCGAAGGAGCAAGUCUUCUCUGUGGAUGCAGCGGUGACCAUGGUUCGGUAGCAUCGUUCGCCUGAACCGGUCAUGCGGUUGAAGAGAGCUUGGAGGAAGUAAGAAGCGAGUUUCUGCUCGGUAUCUCCGUAUGGUGAAGAGAGCUCGUUGAGCGUCCAGAGUAUUUGUUGCGCACGUGCGGUGUCUUUGUCGGAGAAGGCACGUGCGGCUUCGAGGAGGAUCGAGUCUGCCCAUUUGGCAUUGGAUGAGAAGUCGAAGGAAGGAGGAGUUUGAGGGAUGGAGAAAGCGGAAGGGUCAUUGUGGUGGCCGGAGGAGGAGUACGGUGAGGCCAAGGCAGCUGCUGCGGCGGUGGAGGGAGGGGUUGAUGAGGUGGCGGGAUGGUAUUGGGUGGGAGUAGUGAAAGGAGAGUAGUAGCUAUUAGGGUUGUUGUUGUGAUGAUGGUUGUGAUGAGAGGAAGAAGAGGAAAGGUCUUCUUCAUCCAUGAAUAAGUUGUAGCAUUCUUCAACAAGGUCGUUUGGUGGGAAGUUGUUGUGGUUGUAGUGAUAAGCAGUUUGUGGAGAGCCACUAGUGGUGGUAGAGGUUCUGCUUAACGAAGAUUGAUUUGUAAUAAUGCUAUCGGAUUGUUGCUGUUGUUGGAGACUGACUAACCUAAAGAGAGUAUCCAUUUUCUCUCUUUUAAUAUGAAUAAGAAAAUAAUAGAGGACAGACAAGAGAGAUGGGAGACCCACAAUAUCUAAGAUUUAAUACUUUGUUAUGUAUAUUGCAUCAGCAUCAUGUGUUGUUUAUAUAUUUCACUUUCUUUCCUUUUGUUUCGGUGGGAGUGGGUGAAUCUUUGAUGAAGAUGAGUUGUAGGGAAUGGGUUUGGUGGUCUUUGUGAGUUUUAUAAUUGGUACUAGUAAGUUAAAAGAAAGAAUGGAGCAUGAAAAGAGGAUAUUUCUGAAUCGAAUUGUUGUCCCAUGUUUAUCUUUUGGACUGAAUAGAUUGUUUGAAUCUAAUUGGGGUUAGUGAAGACAUAAUUAGAGAGAGAAGAGAUGAGUCUUAUUAAAACAAUACUCUUUAACUCUUUUUGGCUAAUCAAGAAUGUUUUUUUUUUGUUUUUACUAUAGCCCUAACUGAUGAUCAAUCAAAUUAAGCAUGGACAUAACAAUCCUACUAGUUUCACAGUUUACAUUCUACAGAAAAUAUUUAGUUAUUUAUAACUUUAUAGUGGUUCUACGAUUUACCACUUCUUCAAUCUUGUCAUAAUAUAUAACUUAUAUAUUAUUUAGUUACAUGGAAUGGAUUAGUUAGAUAGUUUGGAGGUUUCAUUAAGUAUAAAAAAGUUCUGACAAAAAGAAAAUGAGAAAAAUUAAAGAAUAGUUUCAAAAUAAAGAAGAAAAAGAUAAGAAGGUCGAUAUCAUGUAAUGGUUUUAGUGGGUUUCGCUUUCCUUCUUUUUCACAUCGAUCCACCCGAGUAACCUCUCCUCUUAUUUCUUCUACUACAAUACAUCUCUCUCAUGCAACAUUGUAUUUACGUGGAUCAUUCAUCACGCAUAUAAUAUACAUGUAUGAUGUAUCGUCUGAAUAUGUGAUUCUGGAUACCUAGAAAAGUUGAAAACGACAUACUUGUUGAACAGUUGUAUAGCACAGGGGUGGAACUGGGAGGCUUCAUGAAACAUUUUGCAUAAUACAGUAUACCAUAAGAUAUCCUGGUUUACAUACAUGGUUAGAGAAUUUACAUAGAGACAUGUGAAUAUAUAAUGUUUAUAGGUGUGAGUGAGUGGGAGCAGGCGUGAAGAAAAGCUGACGGCGUGCAUCAACAUCAUCAAAGUUCCACAUUUUCUUUGCCUCCUAACCUCUCCCCAUUCACUGCCACCACUUUUUUUCCUUUUCUUUCUUCUUCUUCGUCUACACUUUCUUUACUACUAGUAUUUUAGAUUUUUUCAUUUCAUUCGUACUUUAUUUUGCUGUUCACAUUAACCCGUAAGAAACCAACCCAUGUGUCAUAUUCCAUUCCCUUUUAUAAACAAAAUGGUGUAAUUAUCAUCUCAGGAAUCUAGGGCAUUCUUCUUUGUUUUCUUCUCCUUCAAUCCUCUCAUGCAACAUUGUAUUUACGUGGAUCAUUCAUCACGCAUAUAAUAUACAUGUAUGAUGUAUCGUCUGAAUAUGUGAUUCUGGAUACCUAGAAAAGUUGAAAACGACAUACUUGUUGAACAGUUGUAUAGCACAACGAAAAUAUCCCAAAGGCGUAUGGCUGUUUGCUUAUAUAUAGGCCAAAUACAUGAAACCAAAGUUGUUCAAGUACUAUCGUAAGUGGUGUAAAAUAGAAAAAAAAAAGACUUCUCUAUACAUGCUAAAUCAGCAGAACAAGAGAAGUUAUAAUGUGUCCUUAGCUACUUAUAAUUAAUUUCAAAUUACCGAACCAAUCGAAAUACAAACUCCUUUAGAAAAAUUAGACAAUCUACGAUAAGUUACACAUAAAUAUCAACAAUAUGUCAUGUACAAAACCACUAUUUUAAUUUUGAUAUAUUUACGUAAUAGUUUCAUACAUAAAUAUAUAUUUAGUCGUAGACGUAGACAUAUUUUCUUAGAACGUUUGGAAUCAUUAUAUCGACCCACAUAACUCUUCUUACAAAGUAUAACAUAAAGACCAACAAGACAAUAUAGACUUUUUUUAAAAUCCCAAGUCUCAACUCUAGAACUGGAUCAUUUGACUGACACGUACCACUACAAACGGAAGAAAUCAUCAGUUUAAAAAAUGCCCAACGGAAUUGAAUAGAAAAAUAUUUGCUAUUAAGAAAAGUCGUGAUAUUAACCUUUUUUUGGUUAAUGAGUAACGAUAUCACGUAGCUAAUUGAUUAGUUAGUAAAAAAACCACAUGCUCGCGAAUCCUGAUACUCUUCCGUAUGUUAUCAAAUAAAGCUACGUGACAAAACUUCUGACUAAUUCAGAUGUAUAUAUGCCAUGUCGCCUAGUUAAAAUUCUGGACCAAUAAAUGAACAAAGCGAUCAAGUAUACUAUAAAUGUACAAGAAUAGAUUAGUGCGUAGGCUACACACAAUGUCGUAGAUAUACCUGUCACGAGUCAUCACCUCACCUCUCGUAGUCGUAGAUCAAGCUCUCUUGAGUUUCUUCUACAAUUAUUAGAAGGAACCCCACAUUCUGCAUCGUUGUCCCUUUAUUCGAAGCCUAUCGUAUUUUGCAGUUUAGUUUCCUAUAUCAUUUCUCGAAAUCUGUUCUUGCGUUCUAGGAAAAGUCUCAUCUUAAUCCUGAAGAUCCAGCUUUCGGUUAUGUGCCAGUGUAUCUUAUGCAUUUGUUUUUGAGUUGGUACAUGACAUCAACCGACAUGGCAAAAAUAACUUAUGCACACCCCUAUGUCUAUCAGCAUAUAAAACAUGUUUAUGCACUAAUAAUUUGUUUGUUAUACAUAUAUACACGCUAAGAUAUAGCGGAGUACUAUACAUAAUUUUGCAUUGGCAGUGCUUAAUUUUAUGAUUUUUAAGAUGUUUUUUUUUCUUUUAAUAUGGUUUAAAUUCAUGCUUUGUUUAACUAUUGUGUCAUCGUUCAGUAAGGCAUAGACAAAAAAUAACAUGUAGGUCUCCCAUCAAUCACAUAAAGGUGAAAAGGGACUUUUGGGUAAUCAAUUUCGUACCAAAUUGAUAUAUAUAUUGAAACAAUAUAUAACAAAUGAUGUAGAAAGAUCCAUCACACAUUAUUAAGACUAACUCAAUCAACCUAACUCGAAAAGUUAAUUUUGACAUUCCCACUGAAAAUGUAUAUAAGUGACACCAGGUAAUGUUUUUCUUCAGUUCUAAGUUCUAACAUAUACUACCAAAUAGUAAUCAUCAGUUAAUGACAGAAUGUUUUAGUUGAGUUGGUUUCUCUUUUUUUUUUUUUUGAGUUACGUUUAGGCGAAUUAGAGAAGCAAAUAUGUACCAGAGCCCAUAAUCUGUAAGGCCUUAAAGACCAAUAUAGAAUUAGGCCGUAUGAGCAAAGAUCACAGACACAUAUAGACGAUGAAGGAAAACUUUGUUAUAUAUAUACAGUAAGAAAGCCCACUUAAAGCUCACUAAAUGCCUUCACAAUGGAAGUAAAUACAGACGGAUAGAUUUCGAUCCGUGCAACCGUUGCAAAUUUAUAGUUCAUAUACAGUAACUUAAUUUAUAUGUUUUGAAUUUUCAGUGAUAGCAUAUAUUAAAUCACGUGAUAUAAAAUUCUAAAUUGAAAAAUCUUAUUGAUUAAAGAUAAAAAAUGUAAUUGAAAAUUAUUAUAUUAAAUUAGUAUCGUAAAUUUAGUAAAAUAUUGUACAUGAGAUUAGUUAUAAUUACAAAAAUUAAUUAGAUAUUUUAAAAUUUUGUUUUAGUUAAAAUGAAAUACAUAUUUAAUUUUCAAAUAAACACGAAAUUAACUAAAAAUUAAAUUUUUUUGUUUAAGUGAAAAAUGAAAUAUAUUUUAUAUUGUAAAAAAAAUAUGAAAAGAUUUUUAUUCCGAUACAAUUUGAGAGAAAAUAUAGAAAUAUCAAUUUGAUUUGUUUGUUAUAGAAUAUUCAAAUAGUGAAAUAUUUAUACAAAAAUUAAUUUAAACAACUUUCUAAAGGUGGUCCAAAUUAAAAAAAAAAUCACACAUGUAUUAGGUCAUGACUUCUGUUUUAAUAGUAUAGACGAAGGAUCUAAAAUCCGCUCACGAUUUCUUUUUUAACUCAAUCAACCUAACUCGAAAAGUUAAUUUUGACAUUCCCACUGAAAAUGUAUAUAAGUGACACCAGGUAAUGUUUUUCUUCAGUUCUAAGUUCUAACAUAUACUACCAAAUAGUAAUCAUCAGUUAAUGACAGAAUGUUUUAGUUGAGUUGGUUUCUCUUUUUUUUUUUUUUGAGUUACGUUUAGGCGAAUUAGAGAAGCAAAUAUGUACCAGAGCCCAUAUCCAGAAUGAAACAUGUUAUCCAACUUCCUAUCCUCUCUCAGUGCUAAGUUUUGAUCAUGUUUAUAUCGAUGUCACGAAGCUCACAUCUUUGUAAAUAAAUACAAGAUAUAAAAUUGGCAAGAAACAAAGGAAAAUGGGCAUUUAAUUCCCGAAGUAUUUGAAAUCGAUAGUUUAAAUACCCAAGUGUUGCUCGCGCAUAUUUAUUUUCCAUCAUAUUGUUGAUGUAUUUCAUGUUUAUAUCACUUUAGAUGAUUUUUAAACUAAUUCCAAGUUUAAAAGAUUCAUAAUUUGAACUAAUAUACAAGAUACUAAUCCUGGAAAAGGAUUUUUUUCUUUUAGUUUUUAAGAGCAUAUAAGAUAGUAUAAUUACAUUUGCACUGUAUUGAUGUUGUACAAUAUAUGGUUGUCUAGUAGAGAUAAGUACAUAUGAUUGUCUAAAGUAGAGAUCCAAUGUACAACAUAUAAUUAUAUAAACAAUAUGAAAUAAUCCAAAAUGGUUUUAUAAACAUGAAAUAAAUUAACAAUACAAACAAUACAAUGCAACUAUAAUAAAAUAGUGUUGUUUUUAAUUCCUAAAUAUUUUCAAUGGCAAAUUAAAUACUCAAAUAUUAUAUGCGCAUAUUUAUUUUCCAAUUAAUCAUUGACUGCGCAAAAUUAUGAUUAGAAUAUUCAGCUGUUAAAAAAUUGACGGAAACAGUUAUUUUAUGUUUAUGAGUUAACUGUUGACUGUUUCGUUCUCAAUUUCGUGUAGUCAACUAUUUGUUGCCGAAUAAAUAUGAACGAGUAAUACUUAAAUAUUAAAAUUGCCGAUUUAAAAUAUUCCGGGAAUUAAAUGCCAUUUUCCCAAGAAACAACACAAUAUAUGAAAUGAUUUUUUCGGUCAUAUAUGAAUGAUUUAGUCAACAAACAAUUAAAAGUUUACUUUUUAUCCUGAAAAAGAACGUGUCAUUGACGAAAUGAAAAAUGAAAAGUUCAACCUUGAAGAUGAUUAAAUUUAAGAAAACACAGGUGUACCUUUCCAAGAAAGUAGUCGCCAACCAUUAUGAUGCAAUUUUGGAUUUUUGUUUUCCUUUUAAUUAUUUUAAAAACACUUGGAUAUAAUGUUUAGACAGAGAGGAAAUAAAUUAAAUAUUCAAAAAUAAAAGUAAAAAUGGAUAUAGUUUUCAAAAGUGAGUGAUACAGAAAAGGUCGUCCUACGUGGAUGUGAAUCAGCAAGUAGUUAUCCCUUCUCUAUUUGUAACUAGGUCAGCUGGGUGGGACCCAAUUUCGACGUGUUACACAGUUCACAUUCCCGAGUUUCCACCAUUAAAUAUACUAUUUUAAUUAAUUUUAUCCGACCAAGAUAGAAUUAUAAAUUGGUCUUUGCCAUUACUUCCUUCCCUCUCCGAUUUCUCAUUCUUUCCUUCUUUUUUCUAUCGCAGAUAGAUAACGUUUUCUUCCCCGGCAAAAUAUUUCUACCUUAGAUUUAGAAAUUCAAAAACAUAAAAGAAUUAUAGUUUAGUUGUGAAUAUAGAAGAAAAUCAUUCUUUUUUAUUUUCUUCUAAUCUGAUCUGCAAGUGAAGUUACACAAAUUAAACUUACCAAUAUCAGAAUUCAAUUACAAAAUCUUGUAAGUCCUCGUGUUAUUUUUCUUCUUAUAUAAAUUUAUCAAUCUGUUUCUCUAGAUCCUAAUUUUAUGUUUGUUAUUAGUUUUAAUUAAGUAACGUAUCUGAAUCAGAUUUCUUCUAUAACUUGUUACAGAAGAAAAACAAAUUAAUAGAAAAGGCCUCGAGACAGCUGAGAAAGCAUGAAGGGAAUUAUCCGAUCCAUGAUCUAGAGAUGGCGGCCGUGGUGUUUGCUUUGAAGAUAUAGAGAUCGUAUGUGUUCGGAGCGAAAGUCCAGAUUCUCACUGAUCAUAAGAGCUUGAAGUACAUUUUCACUCAGCCUGAGUUGAACUUGAGACAAAGAAGAUGGAUUGAGUAUGUUGCUGAUUAUGAUCUGGACAUAUCAUACCAUCUAGACAAGGCUAACCUAUUGGCUGAUGCCUUAAGCCGGAGAAGGGCAGAUGUCUCGGCCGAAAGAGAAGCGGAUGAACUAGAAGGGAUGGUUCGGUCACUACAUCUAAAUUCCUUGGUUGGACGUGAUGAGCCAUUGGGAUCCGAGGAAGUGGAUCAGGCCGAUCUACUUACCAGGAUACAGCAGGCCAAGAGUUUGGAUGAGAACUUGCAAAAAGUGGCUCUUAACGAUAAGACGGAGUAUCAGAUCACAAGCAACGAAACAAUCAGGGUGAAUGGCCGAGUAAGUGUUCCAAACAGAAAGGGGCUUAAAGAAGAGAUUAUGACUCAGGCUCAUAGGUCAAAGUUCUCAGUCCACCCGAUGCUGAAUAAGAUGUAUAGGGAUUUAAAAAUGUACUAUCACUGCGUAAGGAUGAAAACAGCCGAGUGGGUGGCGAGGUUCGCGUUUUCAUUCGCUUCUUAUACUCUUCUUGGUAAAUAUAUCUUCUUCUUAAUCACCAUAACAUCUUUAGUUAUAAUUAUUUUUAAAAAGAAUCUUUGGUUAUAUAACAGUACUUUAACCUAACUCUUUUGGUUUCAUGUGCAGCUACGAGAAACAAGACAUGGAAGAUUUCGCAAUGCAUCUUCUCGUACUAUCACACGUCUACGUGGUUCCGCAUCUUAAACGAGUUUGCGAGUCGCACUUCGAAAACACUUUGCUCAACGAAGAGAACGUGAUUGAUGUGUUUCAGCUAGCUCUUCUCUGUGACGCUCCUCGUCUCGGUCUUCUCUGUCACAGAAUGAUACUCAAGAGCUUUGAAGAAGUCUCUACUUCUCAAGGAUGGAUAGCGAUGAAACAAAGUCACCCUAGUCUUCAUAAAGAGCUCUUACGCUCUGUUUCUUACGAGCUUAACGUAAGAAAAAUAAACAAACCUAGGAACUUAUGUCUUGUUCUUUUACUUUUUUUUUCUGAUUUAGUUAUGUCUUUUUGUGUGUACAGAGCUUGAAGCAAAGAAGCAGGAAACAGAAAGAGAUACAGACAUAUACUCAGCUGUAUGAUGCAAUGGAAGCUUUUGUACAUAUAUGUAGAGAUGGAUGCAGAGAGAUUGGUCCAACAAAGAUCGAAAACCCGCACGUGUCUUGCGGGUUUCAAGCGUGCAAUGGUUUGGAGAUGCUGUUGAAACAUUUGGCGGGAUGUAAACUGAGAUCAAUCCCUGGUGGUUGCAGCCGUUGUAAGAUUAUGCUGGACCCAAGUGGGGGAGAGGAGCAUGUUGGGUCCUGAGAUAGUGGAAGAAACCACCGAGAAAAUAAGGUUCUUAAAGGCGAAAAUGAAAGAAGCACAAAAUCGUCAAAAGAGUUAUGUAUAUAGACGAAGGAAACAUAUUGAGUUUCACCAAGAGAAUUGGAGGAUCUCCUUUCUUUUUGCAAGCAAUUGAUGUUAAUAUGUGACAUUAUUAUUUCAUUUCAUAAUAGAGUUAGAGAUUGCAUAUAUGUAAUAUACAUAGGUAGUAGAUUCAUUGUAAAGAGAGAGAUUUUGAGAUUUAAACAAUCUUCACUCUCUAGUUACAUCACAAACCUCGUUUAAAAAGAGUGUAUCUGAUCAUAAUACCAUAAGUGUUUUGGAAACCCAUCAAGCUUAACAUGGUACCAAAGCACGAUCCACAUCGAUUCGGUCCAAAGUUGAUCCUCGAUCCUUGUCCAAGAUUAACGCUUAGGGGCGUAUUAAAGACAAAAUCUCUCACAUUGGUAGUUAGAAGAGCUCUUUAUUAAUUUAUAAGAUAGAUGAACAAAUUCAUCUAUCACCAAUUAGUUUUAGAUUGAAAACCAUCAAACUUAACAGUGACAUGGUCUUAUGAGCUUCCUUAAGUAUCUCAAUUCUGCUUCUCCAGAUGCCUAGAUGACUAAGUCUUCUUCUUCCACUAACAAGAAGCAUUAGAAGAAACAUAAGCAAUAAGAAUAAGGAAGCUAAUAACAAUAAUAUUAAGAAGAUAGUCAUUUUACUUAGUCAUAUAGGCCAUAAAGUGCUUGAAAACGCUUCACCUUAACGCCAUUGUUUUUGCAAGUGAAGACAAUGCUUUGAUCGCUACUAUUUCUAAACCUUCAGCUUGGCCUUCCUUAAAGUUUUAUUCUACAAAGACUAUAUCCUUACUCCAAGAUUUUUUGGAUUGGAAUGUUCAAUUUCACACUCCUAAAGACAUCAAAGGAGCUAAGCUAAUUGCUGAUAGUGUGAUCAAAGGGAACCGGUUUCACUCAUACAUUGCAGUUGGGUUCCCUCUUUGGCUUAGACAUUUGUUUAGUUAAUGUCUCUAGAAUUAUUAUCUGUUAGUCUGUAAUCAUUCGGAUAAUCACAUUCUGUGUAUUAUAAUGAGAUUCAGUGUGAAAAAAAAAGUCAUUUUACUUUUAAAAAAAUUCAAAUAACCUUCUAUGAUUCUCCAUUAACUUAAUAGUUUUGCAACGAAUCUUCUCCAAAAUUGCUCCGCAAGACUUACUCAUCAUGUUUUGAAAGAAGACUACUACGGCCCCAGUCGUCAUUCAAAUAAGACUACUACUGCCCAAGUCGUUAUUCUCUCUUGGACUUUUGAUUACAUCACAUUAUAUAGUCGAUGCAUGUCUAGCGUCAUAAUAGUUUCAUUGUUUCUUUGUUUUUUUUUUUAAUAUUUCUAUACUCCAUAUAAUAAGAGUUCAUUGUUGUUUUGAAAGUACUGAAUUCAUGAUUGCAUGAAUGAAUUUUUAAUAGAGUUUUUGAACAUUAAAUUUGAUGAUGGGAAAAUAGAAAAGGACGCUAUUGUGCUAGUCUAAAAUUUUAUUACAUAUUAAAUAGCAUCUUCAAUUUCGCUCUAUAAUCUACUCUAAAAUAAAAUUUAGAAUAAACAAUGAUCUAAUCUCAUUCUAUUUUCAACUACGUAUAGAAUAAACAUUGAUUUACUUCGUAAUAGAAUUUUUUUUCCAUUACUCUAUUUUUCAUUUCAAAACAGAGUAAUUAUAAACUCAACUUCAUUUUAAAAUUAUUCUAUGUUGAAAAAAUGAAGUUUUAUAUCAGAGAUAUUCUAAAAUAUCUAAAUAACAUUUUAAAUAUAUAAUUCUUAUAAAAUAUGUUUUCUUUGAAUCACACAUCCUAUAUACUUCUACCAUCAUUAUUCUUUUUUGGUACUCUUGAGGUAGACAAAAAUGAUACUCUUAUUUACUUCGCCACCGUCAUUAUAUUUAAAAUCUCCUUUGUGGUUUUUUUUCUUAUAUUAUAAAAAAAAUAUUUAGCUUCACUAAUGUUACAUCAUUUUCCUUGCGGACGCACUCGCAUAGUGAAUAUUCUCUUCGAAUAAAUAUCGCGGCCAUGUUUUUGUGGGGGAUAUAUGAGAAUGAGAUGUUUGUUUGGGUGUGAACAAAGUGCUCGUAAUUCUUUUUUCUCGUCUAGAUGUUCAUAUACUAGUGCUUUUGUGGCCUCGCGUCACAUCUACAAUAUAUGGAUCGUUAAUUUUCCGAAAAAGAAAUAUAACUAUCAAAUUGUUGCACUGGGAACUUUCAUUAUGUUACAUUAUGAUUCACAAGAUCUUCUACUUGAGAACAUCGUGAAGACUUGCCUCUUCUUUACUACCUACAUAAUCUUUACAGGAAAUUAUAUUUGGUCCCUAGUUUUCAAAAUAGCUUUAAUUUACUUGAGUAUAUACGGUAAAUAAAUAUGAUAAAAUCCUUCGUAACCCGCCUGUUUCAACUCCAUUAAACUUAUCAUUUGGGCUUUUAGUUUGUACUUGUCGGUGAACUAUACACAUACACAUACACAAAAUCACAAAUCUUUGAAUAAUUAAGACUACAACUCCAAAAGAAAAAAGAAACAAACUAAUCGGCAUCUUUAGCAAAAAAAAAAAGAAAAGUAAUCUGCAUGCAUGUCCUAAUAGAAGUUAGAACCAGAUCAAAUCGGAUCUGAUUAACCAUCAAAACAUCCUUACAUAUAUUGCUAAGAAAUGCUAAAUGAAAUAAACUCACAACAGCUAAAAACCAAACCUCCGGUCAACAUACGCACGUACGUAUAUGUGACAAUCUUUAUAACUUUUAUUUUGUUCAAUCUUUAUAACUAAAAUAUAAUAUUCAAACACAAAGUAGUAAGUUAUCUCCACAUGUCUUAUGAUGCGAUGAACAAGACCUUAUAGGUAUAAACUAUAUCCCUGACUCGUUCAGUGCUCACGACUCGACAAUACCUCUUUUGGACAAAGACGCGUUAUUAAAACCCGAUUCAAAGGUUUCAAUCAUGCUACUGCAAACAACCAAAAGAAACAUAUAAAUCUAUCAGUUUAACAUCAUUGGGACCAUUAGAUGGAGAAAAAGCGUGGUCCAUGACAUUGAUAUUCAUAUCAUUUACACGUAAGACUUGCGAUAUCAAAAUGUGUUUCAUCCUCCAGUAUCCAUCAAGGAUCAAUCUCGAAUUAGCAAAGUACUAAGAACUAAAUCCCACCUAAAAAGAACAACUAAACUAAUAUACAUCAUAUUAUACUUUAUUUACUCUUAAAAAUGUGUCUUUUCUCUAUCUAGUUUGAAUGGGAUUUUCUAGUGGGUGUUCAAAAAGUGUGUAUAAAUAAUGGUUUGGUAUUGGUAAGAUUAUCUUUUAAACCUGGAUUUUAAAACCUACUUUUACAGGUUAUGACACAAUAGUGGACGUUAUAAUUAUUGGUAAAACAUUCUGUAGAUUCAUAUUCUCCUACUAUCAUAAUUGUUAUUUUGUCUGCAGUACGAGAGCAUCAUUAACGCUACAACCGUGCGAAAGGAUCUUAAAAGGAAAGAAAAUUAAUAUUAUAAAAAUAUAUAUUUUUUUAUUUUUUUUAUAAAACAGAACCAAUAAAUAUGUUACACAUAUAUGUGUAGCACCGUUUUUUAGGGCAUUCGCAAUGGAAAUUCUUAAGUAGGAGUCUUUAGGAAAAAAAUAAUUAAAUAAUCAGUAGAUUCCACCAAAAGUUAAGGAUUCAAUCCUUAAAAUUCCUAAAUAAUGACUCUUUCUUAGUGAAUCCUUGCACUAUUUGCGGGUCUCCACGACUACGUGACGGUUCGUAAAUGGUCAAUUUUUUUUUUUUUUUCAAAUCCAAAAAUAUCCAGGAUUAAUCCGAAAUGCCCUUAUCGCUAAGGAUUCCAAUAAAUUUCACCGUUGCGCAUGCUCUAAAUGUUCUUAAUUAAGAACCUUUCAAUUUUCUCUUUCCUAAUUUUUAUUUAUUUUAAUUAUUUAAUUUUUAGAAACUCGUGUUAAGAUAAUUGCGGUAACGCGGCUCUGAUAAGAUUCGUACAGAAUGUAACUACUUCAUUCAACGUAUUAAAACGUUCAUGAUACUACUCUAUAUAAUUAAAAUAUUUUAACAUAGCCAGAGAAACAGUAUCUUAAAAAGCUAGAUCCAUUUACAAGACAAGAAGACACAAACCCAAAAGUGGGAGAUAUUGCCUCUUACCACUACUUUAACACCAACACUAACAAAAACAAAACUAAAAAGACCUAACAAGAGAUCUUAAAAGAGUUUAAAGAGAUCAACUCCUAAUAUGACAUGGAAGGUUAUAAAAACUAUUAUCAAGCGUUUUAAGUUUUAAAAGACUUUAAAACUCCCUAGGGUCCACAAAAACAGAAGCGCCAGGUGGCGAUUUGGUCCAAUCACCAAGAGCGCCGUCACUGUAGUCAUCUCCAAGUCGUUUAAUGCACCAAAGAUCCUCUUCGCACGAUAACACUUUCCAGUGUGGUAUCCCUCGCCGCAACGGCUCUUCUCCGGCGACUUCGGUCGCCAAAACGCCGCAGCCUCCUCCCUUGGCCAGAUUGUGAGCGUAUCCGCACAGAGACUUCACCAUCUUCGCCGCACGUGGACCUUCCCCACCAAUCCCGUACAUAAAAUGAAGCCCAAACGGUUUAAAAACCGAGGGUAUCGAAGGGAGUUUCAAAAACGGUAGCGUUUUGUCAACCACACGGGUCGUUUUAGCCACCACACGCCUCAACAGCGACGCACCACGAACCUCUAACCGGAACGAGUCUUUGCAGUUCCAAACGCUCAACACGGCCCAUGACUCUAGCGGGUACUCGAGGAACUUAGCCGAACCGGGCCAUGAUCCAGACCCGGAUCCGUAACAGCUGCCACGUGGCACCGCGACGAAUGUCCCCAGAGAGAGUUUGUUAUUCAGCACCGAAUCAAUAUCUCGCGGGAAAAACUCUGUUGUGUUGAACCGGAGUCGGUACAACGACUCUGCAUCGACCGGGUCCAAUUUAAUAACUGUGACACGACGCGAGACGUUUACUUUGUGAGCGUAAACCGGAUUGACCAAAAUCGACGGUUUACGAAACUCGGUGUAACCGCAUUUUCCGGUGAAGAGGUUAACCGAAGCUUUGUUCUCGUUUUCAGUCGCUAUAUACGAAUAUUCUGCACCGUUCUGCAUGAACCAUGCUUCCAUCAUCUUCACGAGCUUAAACCCUACGCCUUGCCUCCUGCAUAAAUAAUGAGUGAUGAUUAGUUUUAAUUUACCUAAUCAUUUUACAUGCGUGAUUAGUGGGAAUAACGGAACGUUACCUAUGAGAAGGAGAGACACGGAGCCCCAAAACGUAGGCGAGUUUAGUGUAAAGUGGCUUAACGGUGUCGUUUUGGGACUUAUGAUUUAAAUCGAGUUUUUUGCCACAUGUAACGGUUUUGAUACAACCUCUAAUCAUGCCCACUAUCUCCUUCUUCUCCGUACCAAUCUCGGCCACCUAUCACAGCCAUAAUAAAUUUUCCGUUAUUAAAUUUGUCAUUUUUCUUAAUCUUUAUUAAAUACAAAAAACUUUAUGAGGGUGGCUACUCCAUACAAUUAGUUCAGAAAAUAUAAAUGAUGGGCUUUUUUAUCAUAUCAAGAGUCGGAAGAAACAUAUAUGGCUACAAAAAUAGUUAACUUGAAAAACAAAAUUAAAAUUCUGUUUAUGGAAAUGUUUUUAGAAGAUAAAAAUCGGUUUUGUUUUGUUUAAAAGAGAGUAGGAAGACGGAAUAACAGAAGAAGAAAAAACAAAUAUUGGAAGGCAAUAGUAAAUUACCAACAUAAGAAAAGAAGGUGAAUGUCGGAUCCUACUAAUCGGGUCACCCAAAAGGUCGGUGAAGAGAGAAAGCUUGCCGCUUGGACCGACCUCGCACCGUCGCUCCACAUCCUCCACACCGGCUAAGUCUCUGCUCGGGUCGUAUUCUCUAACCACCGUCAUAUUUUGCUUUGUUUAGAGAGAGAGAGAGAAAAACAGAGCAAAGAGAAAGAGAGAAUAAGUUAGAGGACGAGUGGAGUAGAUAGGGUUUUAUAUUAGAUAGGGAGGUGAGUGUGUAACUGAGAGAAGUGAGGGAACGAGAAGCAUUUAUAGAAAGCUAGAUAUAUAACGUGAGGUAUAAGUAAUGAACAGAGAAGCUACAAGAGUUUAUAGGAUUUGGAUUUAAAAAGGGAAUCGAAAAAGACUUACAAAAAUAAAUCGGCUACUUUUUUACUUAUGAUGAGGUUUAAAAGUUGGAGAAGGCGAGUAGUUCAUGAUUGAAAGAAGCUUAAAGUUCUUCUUCUCAAUCCUAUGUAUAGCUUCUACAGUACCCAUUUUGUUUUACUCCUUUUUCAUAAUUAAUGCUUUUAACCGGUAACUGAAGGGCUCUUCCUUUUGUUUAUUUAGCGGAUUAGGAAUUAUUUUUUAAUUUUCAUCAAAAUUAUGAAUAUAAAUGAUAUUUAUAAAAUUUUAGAUCAAAUAAAUAGAUAAAAAUAUUAUUAAAAAUAAAAUAAAAAAUAAAAAAAUAAUUUAAAAAAUAGAAUAGGCGGCCGCCUAGGCGGUCAUUUAGACGGUAUAGGCGGAGAAAAUCGGAUAUCCGAAUUUUUUAACCGAUUUGGCAUAAAUCGAGACUUUUAAAAUAUAUCCACCAAAUUUUAUCUAAAACACUAGCUCGCCAACAAAAAAAUGUCAUCAUCACCAAAACAUGUAAUCUAUAAUUACAAAUUCUGAGUUAAUAACGCUGUAAUGUCAUCAUCACCAAAACAAAAACGAUCAAAAUUUUGAUGUUGGAUGGGGCAAUGUUUUGAUCGAGUUUUCAAUAUUAUACAAAUCUUAUAGCCAUGCAUGGAUGAUUGGCUUGUUUUUGUAUAUAUAAUUAACUACGGUUUCAAAUAAGAAAAAACACCAUGACCGAAUAUAUUCCUUUUACUAUUUUCCAAAAAUUAUUUAGUACUCAUUUUACUACAAUAGGUUACUGGAAUAAAUAUGUAGAGAUGCGUUGUGAAAUACAGUAAACGUCUUUAAUGGGCAUUAAAUCUCUAAUUAUUAGAAACAUGAAAUGUAGUUUUCCUCGCGAAGUAAAAUAGCAGUAAUGAGGAUGAACAGGUUAAUAAUGGUGAUUAAGACGAGCAUUGAUGUCGAACACUUCUUUUUUUGAAAAAUUGAUGUCGAAAACUUGCCCAAACGGAAGUGUUGUAAGUGGGAGUGAGAAGUGGAAAUGGCGGCUAUGUCUCCGUUAACUCACUAUGGUUUCUCUCUCUAUCUCACUCUCUCUAAUUUUCGUUUUCCUUUGCCCACAAACUCACACAUAUCACCUUUCACAUCAUCGCUCUGAAUGCAUUGCACCAUCUCCAAAGUAAUGAUUUACGUUAACAUUUGUUUUUUUAUUUUAAAUGUUGUAUAUGUAAUCAACCGUUUAAUUAUUUUCUUCCUAUUAUAUACUACUACUAGAUUGCUUACGAUAGUUGACAUUGUUUGAAUGGGACAAUGUUAUGUUGUUUUAUGAGAAAUUUGGCGACAUGUACGUAACAAACCCAAAAACCAACAAUAUAGCCAUAGCAUUAAGAAAGUUAUGAUAUUUAUGAAAUAAUUUUUAUAUUGUCUUUUCUUACUUUCACCUCUUUCUUUUAAUUAACUUCAUAAGUUUAAAAAUUAUUUAUUUGAGUUUCUUAAAUAACUAUAAAAACCAUAGAUUUUUUUCUGUAUAUGAAAUGUUUUGAAUUUUGUAAAACUAACAUAUAUUUAUAAAUUGUACAUAUAUAAGUUAUAAUAAAAUGUUUGUCUAUUCUAUUAACGAGACAUAGAAUAUAAUUAAAAUUAUACAAUAUGUAUUUGUUGUAUUUUUCCCUGUAUUUAAUUUUUCAAUCUUCAUCUCUAUUCUUUUCCAUCUUUCCUUCUUUCUAUGUAUAUUUUUUUUUCUUUCUCUCUUAUUUUUUCUUUUUCCAAUAUAUAAUGUUCAAAUAAUAGAUUGUUGUAUUAUAUUUUAUUUACGAAAUAUAGAAUAAAAUUGUAAUUAUCCUCUCUCUCUCUCUCUCUCUCUCUCUCUCUCUCUCUCUCCCUCCCUCCCAUAUACGUCUACAUACUAUACUAUAUGGCCAUCACAUAUAGAAUAACAAAUUGUUUUAAUUUGUAUUAUAUCAACCAAAUUUGCUUUUUCAUAUACUAUAUCAUGCUAAACCAUCUGUACUAUGAACAACUAUACUCUUUUAUAUUAGAUAUUAUGUUUAUUCCAUUAAACAUCUACAAAUAAAUAAUAUAAAGAAAAUUAAAUUCUUCUUUAUUGUUAAAUUUUUGUUUGAGAUAUCUAUUAUAUAUAGAUAAUAUAAAUAGAAUGAUAUAUGUUGUUGCGUGUGGCAUACAAACGCUCACGCGUUACGGAGGACUUCAAUAUCUAUUUACGGGGUAAAAAGACACGACUCCCAAGUCACACUACAAGAAAAAUUGAACAUUGUGACUAGAUAUUAUGACAAAAAGUUUGGUCACAAUAUUGCGACAAUUUACAUACGGGGUAGUGACUAAAUUUUUUUGUCACAAAAUCGUGAUUAUUUUGUCACAAUGUUGUGACGAAUGUAAAAGUAACAAAUGAAACGUUGCUAAAAGUUACAAAAAAUGUGACGAAGUGGUUAGUCACAAGUAUUGUUACGGAAUCGAGACUAGAAGUCGUCCCUACUAGACACGAUUUCAUGGUUUACAUAGUGUCAUCCAGGGUGACCAAAAGUUCGUAAUCAUAUCAUCUCAACUUGUUACGGGGUUGAUGACUUUUAAUUUAAUCAUAAUUGUAAUAUAAAAUAUUACUAUAUUCCAUCACUAUUAUAAAAGCGAUAUUGCUUUAAAAUUCAGACUCAAAAUUUUAUCUUUUCAAAUUACUCUCACAUCUAUAAUUGAAACCCCAAACAACUACCCCAAACUCUAAUCAUUAAAUCAUAAAGAUUAACCUUACACUUUAAGUAAUAAAUUACAAUUGCUAUAAUAUGCGUAAAACUAAUAUCUAACACUCAUACAAAAUUAUAACAUUAUAAUCUAAACUUUAACCUCAUACUUUAUAUCUGAACCUCAAAAUGUAUUCCCCAAACUCUAAACCCUAAAUAAUAAAGAUAACCCUCGACACUUUAAAUCAUUGAAGUUAAAAUCAUAAUAACCAAAAUAUAAUCACUAAUUAUAUAUAAAAAUAUUUAAUAAAUUUACAUAUAAAAUUUAAUAAAUUUAGUUAAAAAUAUAAAUUGAAUUCACUACGUAUAAUAUUAAUAACCACCAAAUUUAAUAUUUUAUAAAUCCUAACACCAAACAUUAAAACAAACUUGAAAUCGUAUACCCUAAACUCCAAAUUCUAUAUCCUAACUCUAUAUACUUGAACUUAUAACUUUAAGUCAUAUAAAUUAAAUCACAAAUCCUUUUAACAAACCUUAACUUUAAACAUGUACAUGAAACCCUAUACCCUAAACUCUAAAUCAUAAAUUAUGUCUUAAUCUUUAAAAAAAUAUCAUACAAUUUUAAAUAUUAAACUAUUACACCAACAUAUAACCAUUGAUUAAGAAUAUUUUCAUUAAAAAAAAACAUAUAACCAUUGAAUACGUACACAAAAUUAAUCUAUCUCUAUCAAGCAAAUCAAUUAAUUAAACUACAAAACCAAAACUUAAACAAAACUAAAUAACCAUGUUUUGGUUUUGGCUCCAAAUUAUUUGGAAUUGACAUUAAAUAUUUUAGGUUUCCCACGUAAAAAAAAAAGGUUUCCCAUGUUUUGAGAAUUUGCUCUAUCUCAUAACCCUAUUCGACUCUUAUUUGGCGUAGCCUCCAUCUACUCUUUUCUCUCUUUCUCUAGCAAAUCAACAAUCCUUUCAGAUUCUUCUUUUUUAUUCAGUUCAUCCAUUUGAUUCUAACUCCCUCUUAUGUUCUUCUCCCUGAACAUCUCUUUCUUUAUUUUUAUCUCUCAGCGAUUUUUAGGAUUCAGAUUUCAAAGCUCUUUUCACUCACUAAUGGUCGAAACUUUUACCCUACUGCUUCUCAACGACUCCAAGGAUCUGUAAUGCCAAUGGAAUUUACUAGCUAGUCGAAGUAUGUAUCUCUCUCAGUUCCAUUUCUUUUUCGAUUUAAUAUGUUACUUUUUCAGAUUCUAGUUUGGUUCAUUUGAUUUUAUCUGAUGUUAGAUUUCGGAUUCAGAUGCAGAUACAACCACUACUUUGUAGUAGAUCUGACCACUACAGUGUUAAAGGCUUUCAUCGGGAGUAUAUGAACAGCCAAUGAUGAUGGCGGAGGUGUAGACAAGGGCGGAAGGAGAAGGAGGUAGUGGUGUGGGAGACCAGGAGUAUACGAAUCUCGUUUGGUUGCUGUGGUUUGACGGAGGCAAAGGAGGUGGUGGUGUAGGAGACCAGUUUACCCUAAUUUGCUUUGCUUUGGUUUGUAUCAUAUUUGGUUUCUAAUACCAGGUUAAUUUUUGUAACCAGUUAACCGAUAUGUAGUUUGGGUUGUCAAUAAAAUAUAUUCUAAUUACAA